UCUUCAAUAGUAUAGUGGUCAGUAUUCCGGCUUGUCAAUAUUGCAUUGCGCCGGCGACCUGGGUUCAAUUCCCAGUUGGAGAG
Setomelanomma holmii is the source of this 83-nucleotide non-coding RNA. The record is from the annotation of a GenBank genome assembly. Lineage: Eukaryota; Fungi; Ascomycota; Dothideomycetes; Pleosporales; Phaeosphaeriaceae.